This 274-nucleotide ribosomal RNA is filed under the name uncultured bacterium. RNAcentral describes it as "partial 16S ribosomal RNA". It matches the Rfam family "Archaeal small subunit ribosomal RNA", at positions 473 to 747 of the family's 1478-position model. The record is from RNAcentral.
AAACCAGCACCUCAAGUGGUCAGGAGGAUUAUUGGGCCUAAAGCAUCCGUAGCCUGUUCUAUACGUUUCCGGUUAAAUCCAUUAGCUCAACUAAUGGGCUGCCGAAAAUACUGUAGAACUAGGGAGUGGGAGAGGUAGACGGUAUUCGGUAGGAAGGGGUAAAAUCCUUUGAUCUAUUGAGGACCACCUGUGGCGAAGGCGGUCUACCAGAACACGUUCGACGGUGAGGGAUGAAAGCUAGGGGAGCAAACCGGAUUAGAAACCCGUGUAGUCC